GGGCCCGCACAAGCAGUGGAGUAUGUGGUUUAAUUCGAAGCAACGCGAAGAACCUUACCAGGUCUUGACAUCCUUUGACCACCUAAGAGAUUAGGUUUCCCUUCGGGGCAAAGAGACAGGUGGUGCAUGGUUGUCGUCAGCUCGUGUCGUGAGAUGUUGGGUUAAGUCCCGCAACGAGCGCAACCCUUGUUGCUAGUUGCUACGCAAGAGCACUCUAGCGAAACUGCCGUUGACAAAACGGAGGAAGGUGGGGAUGACGUCAAAUCAUCAUGCCCCUUAUGACCUGGGCGACACACGUACUACAAUGGCUAUUAACAACGAGAAGCAAAGCCGCGAGGUGGAGCGAAUCUCCAAAAAUAGUCUCAGUUCGGAUUGCAGGCUGAAACUCGCCUGUAUGAAGUUGGAAUUGCUAGUAAUCGCGGAUCAGCAUGCCGCGGUGAAUACGUUCCCGGGCCUU
Molecule: ribosomal RNA, 457 nt
Filed under: uncultured bacterium
Lineage: Bacteria
Description: bacterial SSU rRNA
Rfam family: Bacterial small subunit ribosomal RNA
Source: RNAcentral